This 23-nucleotide non-coding RNA is filed under the name Rattus norvegicus (Norway rat). The record is from RNAcentral. Lineage: Eukaryota; Metazoa; Chordata; Mammalia; Rodentia; Muridae.
CACAACCAGCCAUCUAAUUGAUA